Small nucleolar RNA from Eutrema salsugineum, 110 nucleotides. It matches the Rfam family "Plant small nucleolar RNA R71". From Rfam's summary of the family: R71 is a member of the C/D box family of snoRNAs containing the C (UGAUGA) and D (CUGA) box motifs. Multiple nearly identical copies of this snoRNA have been identified in Arabidopsis, and it is thought to function as a 2'-O-ribose methylation guide for 18S ribosomal RNA. The record is from Rfam. NCBI's taxonomy places the organism in Eukaryota, Viridiplantae, Streptophyta, Magnoliopsida, Brassicales, Brassicaceae.
AAACCAUGGUGUGGGCAAUCUCUUUGGUAAUCUCUGAAUCUUUCCCAGGCAUCAUAGAGGUCUUCUGUGUCCUCCUGCUGAAAUUUUUGGAUCUUGUCAAUUAAGAGAUU